GAUCAUGGCUCAGGAUGAACGCUAGCUACAGGCUUAACACAUGCAAGUCGAGGGGAAACGAUAUUGGAAGCUUGCUUCCGAUAGGCGUCGACCGGCGCACGGGUGAGUAACGCGUAUCCAACCUGCCCAUCACUUGGGGAUAACCUUGCGAAAGUAAGACUAAUACCCAAUGAUAUCUCUAGAAGACAUCUGGAAGAGAUUAAAGAUUUAUCGGUGAUGGAUGGGGAUGCGU
This 232-nucleotide ribosomal RNA is filed under the name uncultured bacterium. RNAcentral's name for it is "partial 16S ribosomal RNA". It matches the Rfam family "Bacterial small subunit ribosomal RNA", at positions 15 to 236 of the family's 1533-position model. The record is from RNAcentral.